AUUGAACGCUGGCGGCAGGCCUAACACAUGCAAGUCGAACGAGUGGCGGACGGGUGAGUAAUGUCUGGGAAACUGCCCGAUGGAGGGGGCUAACUACUGGAAACGGUAGCUAAUACCGCAUACCCUCGGAUGUGCCCAGAUGGGAUUAGCUAGUAGGUGGGGUAACGGCUCACCUAGGCGACGAUCCCUAGCUGGUCUGCGAGGAUGACCAGCCACACGGGAACUGAGACACGGUCCAUAUGCCUACGAGAGGCAGCAGUGUGGAAUAUUGCACAAUGGGGGCAAGCCUGAUGCAGCCAUGCCGCGUGUAUGAAGAAGGCCUUCGGGUUGUAAAGUAAUUUCAGCGAGGAGGCGUUACUCGCAGAAGAAGCACCGGCUAACUCCGUGCCAGCAGCCGCGGUAAUAC
This 406-nucleotide ribosomal RNA is filed under the name uncultured bacterium. Its description in RNAcentral is "partial 16S ribosomal RNA". It matches the Rfam family "Bacterial small subunit ribosomal RNA", at positions 30 to 526 of the family's 1533-position model. The record is from RNAcentral.